AUAUUUUUUCCUUCUUCUUUUUGUAAUGAUAUCACGUGGUUAAGCGUAUUGUUUUAAUUAUUUCAGUAUUUCUGCAUCACGUUAGACAGGGUCGUGUUUUUAAAGGGCAGUUUAUGCUCAAAUUAUGGGUCAGUGGGCUGCUCAGCUAGCCUACCAUUGUCAUUAGCCUAAGCUAACCUGUACUGUUUAUAGACCUGUUGCAGUUUUAAAUAAAUAAUGAUGUGACAUAUGGGUCUUCAGCUUUUAGACAUGACUAAUACAAGCACAACAAAGCACCCAACCCAAUAUCGCGUGAUAAUCGUGAUCUUGUAAAAAGUCCACACAUUUAGCAUAUUUUUACAAUACUAGCCUAACUUUUGCUUGACCACGUCAUGUGUAGCCAACACACACACAGUAACUACAGCAUAUUUACCAUGCUUCUCCUACUGUAACCGUAGUUUUACUCUGGAAUUUGUAACGCACAUAACCACGACAUUUACUAUGGGUAUACCAUAGUAACCAUAGUUUUACUCUGGUAUUUGUAGUUACUAACACACAAUAACCACGACAUUUACUAUGGGUUUACCAUAGUAACCAUAGUUUUACUCUGGUAUUUGUAGCUACUAACACACAAUAACCACGACAUUUACUAUGGGUUUACCAUAGUAACCAUAGUUUUACUCUGGUAUUUGUAUUUACUAACACACAAUAACCAAGACAUUUACUAUGGGUAUACCAUAGUAACCAUAGUUUUACUCUGGUAUUUGUAGCUACUAACACACAAUAACCAAGACAUUUACUAUGGGUAUACCAUAGUAACCAUAGUUUUACUCUGGUAUUUGUAGCUACUAACACACAAUAACCACGACAUUUACUAUGGGUUUACCAUAGUAACCAUAGUUUUACUCUGGUAUUUGUAUUUACUAACACACAAUAACCACGACAUUUACUAUGGGUUUACCAUAGUAACCAUAGUUUUACUCUGGUAUUUGUAUUUACUAACACACAAUAACCACGACAUUUACUAUGGGUUUACCAUAGUAACCAUAGUUUUACUCUGGUAUUUGUAGCUACUAACACACAAUAACCACAACACUUACCAGGAUUUUACCACAGUAACUGUGUUUUUACUCUACACUAUUUGUAAAGCACAGUAACCACUAAGUUUGCCAUGCCUUUAAUAUCUUUUUGUGAUGUAAUUGUAAUUCAGUGUUUUUUCUGUCUUGCAGUUACGUCGGAUUACAUACUCCACAACAACCUGUAAUCCAGCAGAUCUUUAAAGAAGCCAUCUCUUGUAAAAUCUCUCUCUCUCUCUCUCUCUCUCUCUCUCUCGCUCUGCUAGAAUUAACAGGGAACUUCAACUCCACGCUCCCAAUGCUGAUAUUGAAGAAGCUGUCAAGGGGGCUGAACAAGUCCUUCAAAGGAUCAACCCUUCACAGGAAGGCCUGUCAUGAGAUUUGAAUUUGACCAUCUUGUGCAUUUAUGAAGAAGACCAAAAGCUGCAAAGGCAAACACUUCCAAUGGCAGAAACUGAGAGUUUGCAUGAUGGCAUUUUCUCAGACGCUGAAUCUGAUGUGUACAGAUGAACUCAGGAGCCUACUAGAGUUGCCAAGGAACUUGUGCUUUAACUGAAGACCAGAAACGCAAAGAAAAUCAGUCAAACCAGUCCUAAAGAAAUGAGGAAUGAACAUGGACUUCUUGUGCCCCAAAAGAAAAGACAGAAAGCUCCUAAAAUGAGCAAAUAAGCUGUGCAUCAUCUCUGUGAUUUAGGAAGGAAAUGACUGAAUAUGAUGAAGCCAGUUGAUGAAGAUAUCAAUUGAAUGGCCACCGAGUGCAUCACUGCUACCUGAACCCAUCAGUUAUCUGCUGUGAAGACUGCAUUCACAAACCGCUCUACUGCGACAGCUCAGAUGUUACGGCCUGUAAAAGUAAACAUCACAGCUAAACAACGAGAGCUAGUCGUGGUGGGAUUCUUUUGGCCAAUAUCCCCAACAAGAAUCAAUGUUAAGUCCAGUGCAACAAUUAUAAAUAAAAAUACUAUAUAUUGUUUAUUGAUUUACCAUACCCUAAAUACAUGUUUUGGCCCUCCAGGACAUCUAGACCAGGUGGAGUGUGAGGAGGACCGUCAGAGACUCCAGCCAGCCGAGCCAUGGAUUGCUCUCACUGUUACCAUCAGGCAUGCAUUAUCACAGAACCUACACCAGCAGACAGUGAGACAAGUUCCUUUCACAGUCAAUCAGACUGAACUGAACUCAUACCAGUAAAACCAUACACACCCCACCAACCUCAUAUGCCCUGCACUCUUAUCAGUUAUGCUGACUGGACUCAAUAUUAUUAUGCACCCUGACAUUCUGUUUGCACUAAUUCAUACCGUGCUUUACUGCAGAGAUGUAUGUGUACUGUGAUUAUUAUUGUUUUCAAUUCAUGCUCUCUGUAUAGCAUAAUUUUUAACAUAUAUUGUUCUCUACCUGAAUUGAGUCCCUUAUAUAUGUGUGUUGCAUAUAUAUAUUCAGAAUUUGUAUUUCAUAUAUAUUCAUGAAUUAAUUCAUUUGUCAUCCAUGCUGUCACGCUGCAGC
Carassius gibelio (silver crucian carp) is the source of this 2555-nucleotide long non-coding RNA. RefSeq lists it as uncharacterized. The record is from RefSeq and is a predicted model, not a curated record. The transcript is spliced from 6 exons. NCBI's taxonomy places the organism in Eukaryota, Metazoa, Chordata, Actinopteri, Cypriniformes, Cyprinidae.